Molecule: unclassified non-coding RNA, 4303 nt
Filed under: Hevea brasiliensis (rubber tree)
Lineage: Eukaryota; Viridiplantae; Streptophyta; Magnoliopsida; Malpighiales; Euphorbiaceae
Source: RNAcentral
UUCAGUCAAAAAUUAUUUAAAUAAAAAUAUCUACAUUAGAAGAAAAUCUCAUCUGUACAGGAACAUUUUCAACAAAUACAUGAACAGAAGAUUUUUUUUUUCCAUAAAAAAAAAAAAUCAAAGAUAAGAAAUGUAACUGAGGCUCUACAAGAAAAUUUAACUAUGGAAAUGCCUUAUUUGGGGUUGCUACUUUUUUUCAGGGACAUCAAAAGCCUUUACAUGGUCAACUAAUUUCCUACCACCAAUAAAGAUUGGCUUCCUGUAUCUUUCCUGAGCUUUUGCAGAACCAAAACAUACCACUUCAUCUAUAAUUCACCAGAUAGUAUCUGUAAUGACAAUAAGAAAAAUCAAUCAGUUUGAAAACUUAAUGUCCUUGACAUGAAAUCAAUGAAUUCUUCCAAUAUUGGAUAUAGGCUCUGCAGGUCCAUAACAUGAAAUCAUAUUUCAAACCAGUCCUAAAACAUAGAUGAAAAUCAACUCGUGAUUAGAAUAUUAGAGUUACAUCCUCGGAUCACAUCAAGGGAAAAUUGUACAUGAGCUGGGACACAAACAAAAAUAAGGACCUUAGAAUUUCUGAUCUCAUAUUGGCAAAACUAAUUAUUUGGCAGACUUAUCAAAGCAAUUCAUUGGUAUCAGAUGAUCUUCCAGGCUUUAAAAAAUUUCUUCAAGCAAAUGAAUCAUUAAACCUGAAGGUUUCCAUUAAAUUUCUUCAAACAAAUGAAUCAUCAAAAAUUUCUUCAUGUUUUCAAGAUCCUAACUACCAAUUAUAUAAGGUGUUUCCAAUCACUUCUAUCACUAAUCUUCCUAAAAUAGAAAAAAUAUGCAUCCUCUUAAGUAGGUUGGCUUUACCAGCCCACUAUCUGAUAUGGAGACAGAAAGGCAGCCAAUUUAAUAUUGGCAUUAAAUUUUGUAUAGUUAAUUGAAAAAAAUGAAAAUUGCGGUUGUUCUGAAGCUCCCACUUAGUCAACUAAUUACAUGCUGUGCAGAUUGCAUGAGAUUGUCACUAAUGCUAAUAUAACUUUCAAAUAUAAUUCCAGAGGCCAAGAGCAUGAAAAGAGAGGAAGACUUAACUGCAUUGUUCAAUAAAGGCAGAUCAUGAUUAGCUCUGUGCACACUCAAGAGGGUGCAAAGUUCCUUCAGCAAAUUCAUGCAUCCGAAAAAAGGGGCUGCAACUAACAUGAUAAAUUCUUGUAAAAACAAUGAAUAAUGAGAUUAAAGAAAUUGUUCUAGAUAACAAGGUAUAGCUUUGAUCAAAGCCAAGGCCCAUGAUCAGAGACUGCGCGCAGGGAAGUUGGUGUGCAAUUGACACCCUAUCUAUCUGCAUAUACUCAAUUAGAUGGUCUGUAAUGGAAAUAUAUUAAUCCUAAAAAUUCAUUAAUGUGAGAAGAAAACUGGACAAGAGAUGGGCACGUGCAUGUGUUAGAGAACAAAUUCCUAACAAAAUGGCUGGCAUAAUUUUUUCUACUGAGUGAACAUGAGAAGAAAGCUAUACUAGAUUUUAUGGCCCCAAGAAUGAUAAAUGGAAAAGCAGAUCUAAAGCCAGUUAGUUAUCACAAUAAAAGUGUCAAGUCUCUGACAAAUGCAAAGGACACUGCACUUUAAGCUCAUAAAAUACUCAUGUCUUGCAAGGAGACUCAAGGUGCAAACCACAUAAAAUACUCAUGUCUAGCUUUAUGCACGGUCUAUAUGUGUGUAUAUUGCAAGAAUUUCAGGGGAGAGAGAACUCGCAGAAUAGUGAUCAAAAUACAAUAACAAUAAAUUUUGUGGACAAGUAUGGAAUUUUUUAGUCUUACAAGAAGACUUCAUGAUUAUGAUUUAAUCUUCGUUGAUUGCUUUCCAUGGCUUCAAACACAUUAGAAGUUUCUGGCCCAGUUGAUCCUCCAGCUACAAUUGAUGGGAUGGAAGCAGUCGGAGUCCAAAUCUUUAUUGUGUUAUCAAUACCACUUGUAGCCACAACACAAUCAAAUGGAUGGCACUGCACACAGUUCACAACAGCUUCGUCUCCAUUAAGCAUUUUUAUUAGUCUACCAGUUUGCUUUUCCCAGAUAAAACAUCUACCAUCAUCACUUCCACUGGCCACAUACUCACCUCUCUGGCCCAGAAAACUGGCCUGUUUUAUGUCAGUUCCAACAUUACAGUGGCCAACAAAUCUCUGCUUCAUAUCAAUAACUGUCUCUGGCUGAUAAUUCCGCCGGUCAUUUUGUGAAGAUGAAGGUGAUCUGCAGGAGCCAUUUGCACAACUUGAUUCUCGAGUUGAAUCACCUCUUCGAUGAAUCCUCAAAUUUAAACUUCCGUGAAGAGUAUUGGGUUCAACAUCACGUCCUUCAUCACCCGAUAUUGAUGUUUCAAAGUCCAACUCCAAUUCCUCAUCAUAGUCAGAAUCUUCUCUUUCAGAUGUUGGACCAUCUUGGGAAGCAUCACUGUUAGCCUCUGAGCGAUAAAGUAUGUCACUUAGUGACAAUGCUCUUCCACUUCGAGAUUCAGACCUCAGAAGCCCAUCAUUUGCUUUAUUAGUUUUUCCUGUUUCAGCUGCAGCAAGAUUCUUUUGUAAAUUCUCUACCAAUUCUGCAAUUUCAGUAUUGGAUGGCGCAACAGAUUGAGCAGCAACAGCAAACUCUAGAGCUUCCUUGUAGUUUCCCAACUGUGACAAAGCUUCAGACAUAUAAUAAAGGGCUCUAAAGGAAGAGCUGUCUAUUCUACGAGCAUUAUAGCAAUCUCUUAUGGCCAUAUGAACAUCAUUUUUCCACUUCCUCUUGAGCAACAAGCCCGCACGUGUGCAGAGACAGUCAUGCCUAAUUGCAAGACCAAUAUCAUGACAAUGCUGAUCCAAAACUUCAUUGCAUGCCUCAAUUCCAUCGUAAUAAUUUGAACCACCCUCUAAGCAUUUUUCAGCAAUUUGAAACAACUUCCUACACUUCUCAAGCACAGAAGUGACAUUGCUUUUGAAACGAAGGCUACUUUUGUAGACAACAGAUAGUGGGGGUUGCAAUUCUAGGCCAUUGAGAAUAGGAUUGAAGGUCAUUAGUUUUGAAGCAUCUCCUGAAGCAUAUCGCAUAGCACUCCCUCCAGCCUGAUUUACAUUCAUGAGGUAUACAUGCUCUCCACUGUAACUGAGUAGAACCUCAUCUCCACUCGGGCUAAAAGUUACAUGAGUUAGGUGUAACCCUGAACGUCCGCGUUCAGAAAGAUGCAUUGGGCAGAAAUAGUUAACACAAGGAGGUGGAGGAAUCCUUUUCCGACAAGAAGUCAGAGGAGGCAGCAUCCUUCGAUCAUAUAGGCGAGCAAAGGCAUCACUCCCACCAACUAGGAGCAGAUGAGGCCGGCUGGCACUGAUGUCACAAGAUUUUAAAGCAAGGGUCUGUCUAGGGGGAUCAGCUAAUGACCUCUUUGCCCCACAGCGCAAGUCAAGUAGAACAUUACGACACUCUUGGGGUGAAGAUCCAGCAGGUGGACAAGAAGCACCCUCCCGAAAGUCAUGCUGUCUCAGUGUCCCAUCUUCACUUGCACUCCAAACCACAUUGGGAUUUCCAACUUCAACAGCUAAUUUUUUUACUCUUCUAGUGUGACAUUGAUACACCGCUGAGGGAGCAAAGGCAUUAUUGUCUGGACCUCUCCCGCUUAGGCGAGACAAAUUAAACAACCGAAUUCCUGCAUCUCCAGCUCCAGAGACCACAAGCUCAUCAGAAGUUUCAGGGACAAAUUUUGUACAGAAUAUGUUUGCGGAAUGCCCAGUAUCUAUAGAAUGCAAAAGCUUUCGACCAUUAUAGCUCCAUAUAUUCAUCUGAGAGUCGUCUGAUCCAGAAAUCAAGAGUGAACCCGUAGAAUUCCAAGCUAUAGUGUUGACACAACCCUGAUGCCCCUCCAAUUCCUUUUCCAGGGAGAGUCUUCGUAUCAAUGAUGAAUGCAUUUGCAAACUGUGAUUGAUGUCAUGGCGAGCAUCGAAGUAUCUGCUCUCCAGCAAAUUACAGAUAUUGCCGUCAUGAAAACCGUAAGAAUCCAUUCUUCCUCUUCUUCUUCUUCAAGUUGCAGUAAAAAAACCCCAGCUUCGAUCGAGAUUGAAUUGAUUGAUUGAUCACUCUGAUAUCAAAGCUAUUAUUUGUGAACUGAAGAAUCGGUUUGAUGAUGGAAAUGCUCAUGCAUGGUUAGGCCAGUGGCAACUGCUAUCUAUGUGCGGGCACUAGUCAUCAAUCUCUACAUUAUUUGUGCUACUUCUAUGCUAGGGAUAAAGACAGAAACCCUCUCUUUUUUUUCAGUAUCUUGUUAUGAAUUAAUUAAUAUUAAUGCGUGCACUAGUGCAUUUUAC